GUUGAACUCAAUUAAACCGUAGCAUCCACCCCUUGUUGUGCUCCCCCGCCAAUUGCUUUAAGUUUCAACCUUGCGGCCGUACUCCCCAGGCGGCAGACUUAACAGUUACCCUACGGUACUGCAAUCACACGUGGCAGUUGCAACACCAAAGUCUGCAUCAUUUACUGCUAGGGCUACUCGGGUAUCUAAUCCGAUUCGUUCUCCUAGCCUUCGUCACUCACCGUCGGAUGCGUUCUGGUCAGGCGCCUUCGCCACCGGUAGUCUUCAUAGGAUUACGGGAUUUUACUCUUACCCCAUGAAUACUCCUGACCUCUCCCGCUCCCUAGCCGAAAGGUAUCUUAUGCACGUAUUGACGUCAUGCGCCAAUAUUUCACACAAGACGGUUUCAGCCGGCUACGGACUCUUUAAGCCCAAUAAUAGUGAACACCACUUGUGCCGCCGGUAUUACCGUGGCGGCUGCCACCGGUCUUACCCAGCACUUAUUCUCCAAGCUUGCUAAACUUGGCAAAAGAUCCACCGAAGUGAAUCACUCAGACUCCCCCCAUCACGCUUCCGCGCAUUGUGGAGAUUGCGCGCCUGCUGCACGCCGUAGCGCUAGGGCCAUUGUCUCAGUGCCCUUCUCGGGGCUCUUACUCUCAUAUCCCCUACGGGUCAAAGGUAUGGUGGGCCGUUACCCCGCCAUCUGCCUGAUCCGACGCAGUCUCAUCGUAGAGCGGUAAUGCUCCAAUUCGCAACCUUUUCAGUUAGGACUCAUUCCAGAAUUCCUAUCC
RNAcentral lists this ribosomal RNA (770 nucleotides) under uncultured eukaryote. Its description in RNAcentral is "partial small subunit ribosomal RNA". The record is from RNAcentral.